Molecule: ribosomal RNA, 256 nt
Filed under: uncultured bacterium
Lineage: Bacteria
Description: partial 16S ribosomal RNA
Rfam family: Bacterial small subunit ribosomal RNA
Source: RNAcentral
UACGUAGGGGGGCAAGCGUUGUCCGGAUUUAUUGGGCGUAAAGAGCGUGUAGGCGGCCAUACAGGUCAGCUGUGAAAACUCGAGGCUCAACCUCGAGACGUCGGUUGAAACCGUAUGGCUAGAGUCCGGAAGAGGAGAGUGGAAUUCCCCGGUGUAGCGGUGAAAUGCGCAGAUAUCGGGAAGAACACCCGUGGCGAAGGCGGCUCUCUGGGACGGUACUGACGCUGAGACGCGAAAGCGUGGGGGAGCGAACAGG